AAAUCGCGAUUAUUUUUAAUAGUUCUUUAGUAUUUAAUCAUAGUGACAGGAAAAGGAAAGAAAACAUAAUUAUAAUUCGAAUCUACAGUCACGUGGAUGGAAAAUUCAAAUUCGUAGGCGUUUCGUAUGUCAGGAAUCGGGAUGCAUGGAUAAAGUGAAUAUUCCAGAUUUUCUUGAACAAAAAGGUAGUUCAAGCGUUUGACAUGCUCUCAAAGGUCGGAGGGGCAGAAAUACGUGAUAAUGUAAAAAGAAACAUGAAUCAUGGGAAAUGAAAAUGAUAUCACAAACGCCAUUGGACAUUAACAUGUUACAUCCUCCGGACAGACGAGGGGUGGUGAGAGAAGGUCAUAUAUCUAAAGGCAUCACACCUCCAAAUUCGUGCUAAUUCUCGUGGA
Ruditapes philippinarum (Manila clam) is the source of this 395-nucleotide long non-coding RNA. RefSeq lists it as uncharacterized. The record is from RefSeq and is a predicted model, not a curated record. The transcript has 3 exons. NCBI's taxonomy places the organism in Eukaryota, Metazoa, Mollusca, Bivalvia, Venerida, Veneridae.